RNAcentral lists this ribosomal RNA (254 nucleotides) under uncultured bacterium. RNAcentral describes it as "partial 16S ribosomal RNA". It matches the Rfam family "Bacterial small subunit ribosomal RNA", at positions 524 to 777 of the family's 1533-position model. The record is from RNAcentral.
UACAGAGGUCUCAAGCGUUGUUCGGAUUCAUUGGGCGUAAAGGGUGCGUAGGUGGCGCGCUAAGUCAGGUGUGAAAUUUCGGAGCUUAACUCCGAAACUGCAUUUGAUACUGGCGUGCUUGAGGACUGGAGAGGAGACUGGAAUUCACGGUGUAGCAGUGAAAUGCGUAGAUAUCGUGAGGAAGACCAGUGGCGAAGGCGGGUCUCUGGACAGUUCCUGACACUGAGGCACGAAGGCCAGGGGAGCAAACGGGG